UUUAUAUUUUACUUUUAAAACUCUAUCUGUCGUAACUCUUUUAAAAUCACUCCAUACAGUACUAGUCCUCUUACGGAAAGAAGAGGCAGAGUUUUGACCUUCGAUAUUGAUUUUAGAAGGAGCAGGAACAGUGUUUCUUUUCCCUUAAAAAUUGGGAGAAUGUCAAAAUAAAUCUCAUCAAAAGAUGUCAUAUCUAAAUAUGAGUUAUACAAAUAAUAAAAAUUAACCAAAAUAUCAAAUGGAGAAAUUGAGUAGAGAUAGACCGGCGG
This 269-nucleotide long non-coding RNA is filed under the name Elaeis guineensis (African oil palm). RNAcentral's name for it is "long non-coding RNA (EGUI_LNC029944)". The record is from RNAcentral. Lineage: Eukaryota; Viridiplantae; Streptophyta; Magnoliopsida; Arecales; Arecaceae.